CCCGGCCAUUGGUUCCGCGGUGCUGGGUGUGAGGGGCAGGGCCUUUGGGAGGUCGGAGGAUCCAGGAGACCAGGUGGAGGCUCCCAUUGCUGUGGCCCCCGUGGUAAGGGGAGCGGAAGCCGGGGGCUGAGGCAGUCCCGCCUGCCGACCCCAGGGCAGGGACUGCCUCUCCUUGGAGAGCGGCCGUCCGGGUGGCCCUGCACCUGCCCUGUGCUUUCCUCACCUGCCGGCCGCGUGCCCGGCCCUGUCCUUCAGCGGCCUCUAGUGUCUGCCCCCGUGCUCGCCUCCACGGGGAGCAAACGAGAGGCCCCCUCGGGCCUGCUCCCAGCCUGGGCUCCCGCUGCCUGACCUGGGGCUGAUGUGCGCUUAUCCCGCUGAGGGAGGAGGGGUGACCCUUCCCCUGCUGGGUGGGAAGAGGCAAGCUCCAAAGGGAAGUGGCCAGGCAGCCAGGACAGAGCUCAGGGACUGGGCGGUGACAAACCAGCGACCACAGGCCCCACACAUUCCACCUGGAGCUUCUGAGGGUGGAGAUGCCAGAGGACCGUCUCUGCUGACCACGGGACGGCUGUCCACUCGGGCGGGAACAUCUGCUGCCUACAAAGCUCAGCCUGGGCUCCCGAUCUGGGUCAGGUCUUCAGAGGUCGCAGGGGCUGGGGAGGAGCUGGGGGAGGCAGGGGCUGGGCCGGGUGCGUGGUGGAAGCGCAGGGGCAGCUCUCUGGCUGUUCUAAGGGUCAGGGACAGCCCGGUCCAAGUUCAUCCUUUCUCUGUCGUUUUAGAAAUGUUCUCACUUCUGGACAAGGACCAGAAUGGCAAUGUCCAUCUCUCCCUGGCUGAGUGGCUGUGCUGCGUGCUGGUGUGA
This 859-nucleotide long non-coding RNA is filed under the name Dasypus novemcinctus (nine-banded armadillo). RNAcentral describes it as "lncRNA (ENSDNOG00000051671.1)". The record is from RNAcentral. Lineage: Eukaryota; Metazoa; Chordata; Mammalia; Cingulata; Dasypodidae.